AAGCGCGUGUAGGUUGACUAUCAAGUCAGGGGUGAAUCCCAGAGCUCAACUCUGGAAUUGCCUUUGAAACUGAUAGUCUAGAGACUUGGAGGGGGAAGUGGAAUUUCUAAUGUAGGGGUGAAAUCCGUAGAGAUUAGAAGGAACACCGGUGGCGAAGGCGGCUUCCUGGACAAGUACUGACACUGAGACGCGAAAGCGUGGGGAUCAAACAGGAUUAGAUACCCUGGUAGUCCACGCUGUAAACGAUGGAUGCUAGACGUCGGCCUGUCUAAGGCAGGUAUUAGUUAUUGGGUAUUAGUUAUUAGAUUUAUUUCUAACAACUAACAGCUAACAACUAAUAACUUUCUUAGAUAGGUCGGUGUCGUAGCUAACGCGUUAAGCAUCCCGCCUGGGGAGUACGGUCGCAAGAUUAAAACUCAAAGGAAUUGACGGGGACCCGCACAAGCGGUGGAGCAUGUGGUUUAAUUCGAGGCAACGCGAAGAACCUUACCAGGACUUGACAUCCCGAUUACCGGAAGCAGAGACGCUUCUUUCAGUUUGGCUGGAUCGGUGACAGGUGCUGCACGGCUGUCGUCAGCUCGUGUCGUGAGAUGUUGGGUUAAGUCCCGCAACGAGCGCAACCCUCAUCCUUAGUUGCCAUCAUUCAGUUGGGAACUCUAAGGAAACUGCCGGUGAUAAACCGGAGGAAGGUGAGGACGACGUCAGUCAUCAUGGCCCUUAUGUCCUGGGCUACACACGUGCUACAAUGGUGAAUACAACGAGUUAAUCUCAAAAUUCAUCUCAGUUCGGAUUGUUGGCUGCAACUCGCCUACAUGAAAGCUGGAAUCGCUAGUAAUCGUAGAUCAGCAUGCUACGGUGAAUACGUUCCCGGG
This 872-nucleotide ribosomal RNA is filed under the name uncultured bacterium. RNAcentral describes it as "bacterial SSU rRNA". It matches the Rfam family "Bacterial small subunit ribosomal RNA", at positions 563 to 1378 of the family's 1533-position model. The record is from RNAcentral.